AGUGAACGCUGGCGGUAGGCCUAACACAUGCAAGUCGAACGGCAGCACAGGAGAGCUUGCUCUCUGGGUGGCGAGUGGCGGACGGGUGAGGAAUACAUCGGAAUCUACUCUGUCGUGGGGGAUAACGUAGGGAAACUUACGCUAAUACCGCAUACGACCUACGGGUGAAAGCAGGGGACCUUCGGGCCUUGCGCGAUUGAAUGAGCCGAUGUCGGAUUAGCUAGUUGGCGGGGGAAAGGCCCACCAAGGCGACGAUCCGUAGCUGGUCUGUGAGGGUGAGCAGCCACACUGGAACUGAGACACGGUCCAGACUCCUACGGGAGGCAGCAGUGGGGAAUAUUGGACAAUGGGCGCAAGCCUGAUCCAGCCAUACCGCGUGGGUGAAGAAGGCCUUCGGGUUGUAAAGCCCUUUUGUUGGGAAAGAAAUCCAGCUGGCUAAUACCCGGUUGGGAUGACGGUACCCAAAGAAUAAGCACCGGCUAACUUCGUGCCAGCCGCCGCCGUAA
Molecule: ribosomal RNA, 506 nt
Filed under: uncultured bacterium
Lineage: Bacteria
Description: partial 16S ribosomal RNA
Rfam family: Bacterial small subunit ribosomal RNA
Source: RNAcentral